Long non-coding RNA from Cervus elaphus (red deer), 385 nucleotides. RefSeq lists it as uncharacterized. Lineage: Eukaryota; Metazoa; Chordata; Mammalia; Artiodactyla; Cervidae. The transcript is spliced from 3 exons. The record is from RefSeq and is a predicted model, not a curated record.
GUAAAUGCACGCAUGGAAGGACAAAGGGAUAAAAAUGAAAGCAGCACCAGCCAACCACCACACGCUGCAGACCCACGUCAGUAAAAUCCCUUAAUUCACGGAGCUGCAAAGAGCUACAACAUCAGGCCUCGGAGGGUUGGAACGGGCCGUCUCAUCUGCGUGUCACCCGCUGCACACGGCAGAACAGCUCACAAGGUGCUGAGACCUGAUAUAGCCCAGGGCCUCAGAAGACCCUCAAAGAAGAAGCUGGCCUGACUCCAGUAACUAGGUCCUGUAGCUGUCAACACAGAACUGACCCACCAGUGUUCACUGCCUUCUACCUUAACCACCGCCAUUCUGGCCUUUUCCCACCUGCAUCCUUGUUCACAGCUUCAAACACAGUCUG